ACCCUACGGGGGGCAGCAGUGGGGAAUAUUGGACAAUGGGGGGAACCCUGAUCCAGCGACGCCGCGUGAGUGAAGAAGUAUUUCGGUAUGUAAAGCUCUAUCAGCAGGGAAGAAAGAAAUGACGGUACCUGACCAAGAAGCCCCGGCUAACUACGUGCCAGCAGCCGCGGUAAUACGUAGGGGGCAAGCGUUAUCCGGAUUUACUGGGUGUAAAGGGAGCGUAGACGGUAAUGCAAGUCUGGAGGGAAAUGCAGGGGCUCAACCCCUGAACUGCUUUGGAAACUGUAUGACUGGAGUGCAGGAGAGGUAAGUGUAAUUCCUAGUGUAGCGGUGAAAUGCGUAGAUAUUAGGAGGAACACCAGUGGCGAAGGCGGCUUACUGGACUGUAACUGACGUUGAGGCUCGAAAGCGUGGGGAGCAAACAGGAUUAGAUACCCUUGUAGUCG
RNAcentral lists this ribosomal RNA (446 nucleotides) under uncultured Eubacteriales bacterium. RNAcentral describes it as "bacterial SSU rRNA". It matches the Rfam family "Bacterial small subunit ribosomal RNA", at positions 335 to 796 of the family's 1533-position model. Lineage: Bacteria; Bacillati; Bacillota; Clostridia; Eubacteriales. The record is from RNAcentral.